CUUUUUGUUGCUAUUGUGAAUGGAACCUGUUUUUUUCCCUCCUUAUCAUACUUUCUGUUUUCAAAAUAAUUGGUUUAUUGACUUUUUUUUUUUUUAACAUAUUGACCUUGCAUCAUUGGUUCUAAUAGUUUUCAGCUGAUUUUCUUGGAUUUUCUAGGUAACUGACCAUGUUAUCUGGAAACAGAAACCACUGAGUCUCUUCAUUUCUGUUUUGUCUGGGCUCUUUCAGUUCCAGAGGAAAUUCUCAAAGGGAGAGACAACACAGAAGCACUUUAAGUUUCAACCCCAUGAAAAGAGGACAGAGGGAGUAUGCUGGAUCUUCAGUUUUGGAGCCUAUGUUCUCAAGAGAAUUCUAAAUAUUGGUGGUCAUUUUGUUGAAUAUUCAGCAGAGGGGUGGAUGGCUGAGAGAACACAAUCCCAAACAUUUGCACAAUAUAUUUGAACUAGGUCAAA
RNAcentral lists this long non-coding RNA (453 nucleotides) under Bos indicus x Bos taurus (hybrid cattle). RNAcentral describes it as "lncRNA (ENSBIXG00000018036.1)". The record is from RNAcentral. Lineage: Eukaryota; Metazoa; Chordata; Mammalia; Artiodactyla; Bovidae.